RNAcentral lists this ribosomal RNA (245 nucleotides) under uncultured bacterium. RNAcentral's name for it is "partial 16S ribosomal RNA". It matches the Rfam family "Bacterial small subunit ribosomal RNA", at positions 338 to 580 of the family's 1533-position model. The record is from RNAcentral.
CCUACGGGGGGCAGCAGUGAGGAAUAUUGGUCAAUGGCCGAGAGGCUGAACCAGCCAAGUCGCGUGAGGGAUGACGGCCCUACGGGUUGUAAACCUCUUUUGUCGGGGAGCAAGACCCGCCACGAGUGGCGGAGCGAGAGUACCCGAAGAAAAAGCAUCGGCUAACUCCGUGCCAGCAGCCGCGGUAAUACGGAGGAUGCGAGCGUUAUCCGGAUUUACUGGGUGUAAAGGGCGUGUCGGCGGGG